RNAcentral lists this ribosomal RNA (427 nucleotides) under uncultured bacterium. Its description in RNAcentral is "bacterial SSU rRNA". It matches the Rfam family "Bacterial small subunit ribosomal RNA", at positions 355 to 774 of the family's 1533-position model. The record is from RNAcentral.
UGGGGAAUUUUGGACAAUGGGCGCAAGCCUGAUCCAGCAAUGCCGCGUGUGUGGAGAAGGCCUACGGGUUGUAAAGCACUUUUGUCCGGAAAGAAAUCCGUCUGGCUAAUACCCGGACGGGAUGACGGUGCCGGAAGAAUAAGCACCGGCUAACUACGUGCCAGCAGCCGCGGUAAUACGAAGGGUGCGAGCGUUAAUCGGAAUUACUGGGCGUAAAGCGUGCGCAGGCGGCUUUGUAAGACAGUUGUGAAAUCCCCGGGCUCAACCUGGGAACUGCAUUUGUGACUGCAAGGCUAGAGUGCGUCAGAGGGAGGUGGAAUUCCGCGUGUAGCAGUGAAAUGCGUAGAGAUGCGGAGGAACACCGAUGGCGAAGGCAGCCACCUGGGAUGACACUGACGCUCAUGCACGAAAGCGUGGGGAGCAAACA